UACGGAGGAGGCAAGCGUUAUCCGGAAUUAUUGGGCGUAAAGGGUUUGUAGAUGGUUGGAUGUGUCUGCUGUUAAAGCCAAUAGCUCAACUAUUGAGGUGCAGCGGAAACUAUUCGACUAGAGGACAGUAGGGGCAGAGGGAAUUCCCAGUGUAGCGGUGAAAUGCGUAGAUAUUGGGAAGAACACCGGUGGCGAAAGCGCUCUGCUAGGCUGUACCUGACAUUGAUGAACGAAAGCUAGGGGAGCGAAAGGG
This 253-nucleotide ribosomal RNA is filed under the name uncultured bacterium. RNAcentral's name for it is "partial 16S ribosomal RNA". It matches the Rfam family "Bacterial small subunit ribosomal RNA", at positions 524 to 776 of the family's 1533-position model. The record is from RNAcentral.